GAUCCUGGCUCAGGACGAACGCUGUCGGCGCGCCUAACACAUGCAAGUCGAGGGGCAGCAUGAACUUAGCUUGCUAAGUUUGAUGGCGACCGGCGCACGGGUGAGUAACACGUAUCCAACCUGCCGAUGACUCGGGGAUAGCCUUUCGAAAGAAAGAUUAAUACCCGAUGGCAUAGUUCUUCCGCAUGGUGGAACUAUUAAAGAAUUUCGGUCAUCGAUGGGGAUGCGUUCCAUUAGGUUG
RNAcentral lists this ribosomal RNA (241 nucleotides) under uncultured bacterium. RNAcentral describes it as "partial 16S ribosomal RNA". It matches the Rfam family "Bacterial small subunit ribosomal RNA", at positions 15 to 248 of the family's 1533-position model. The record is from RNAcentral.